This 98-nucleotide small nuclear RNA is filed under the name Phascolarctos cinereus (koala). Lineage: Eukaryota; Metazoa; Chordata; Mammalia; Diprotodontia; Phascolarctidae. The record is from RNAcentral.
GUGCUAACUUCAGCACUAAAAUUGGAAUGAGACAGAAGAGAUUAGCAUGGCCCCCACACAAGCAUGACACAUAAAUUCAUGAAGCAUUCCAUAUUUUA